CCUGAAAUUGUUGUUGUGAAUGAAGAAAAGAAAACAUGAGAAGAUGAGAAGAAGGGUAAGAGGUCUGGUGCUUCGUGCUCAAGCUUGAAUUUUCCUUGCAUGGAUAAACUCAGGGAUGAGCUUUCGCUUUCUUGAGAGAAAUGAGGUUGGGUACUUGCAUCUGAGGAUUCUCGGCAACAUUGGAAUGGUUUCAAGGUGGAGAGAUUCCUCCUGAGAUCGGAAAGAUGGGCAGCUUGGAAG
Rosa chinensis is the source of this 240-nucleotide long non-coding RNA. RefSeq lists it as uncharacterized. The transcript has 3 exons. The record is from RefSeq and is a predicted model, not a curated record. Lineage: Eukaryota; Viridiplantae; Streptophyta; Magnoliopsida; Rosales; Rosaceae.